CAGUCGCCGCGGUAAGACAGAGGAUGCAAGCGUUAUCCGGGAUGAUUGGGCGUAAAGCGUCUGUAGGUGGCUUUUCAAGUCCGCCGUCAAAUCCCAGGGCUCAACCCUGGACAGGCGGUGGAAACUACCAAGCUGGAGUACGGUAGGGGCAGAGGGAAUUUCCGGUGGAGCGGUGAGAUGCGUUGAGAUCGGAAAGAACACCAACGGCGAGAGCACUCUGCUGGGCCGACACUGACACUGAGAGACGAAAGCUAGGGGAGCAAAUGGGAUUAGAUACCCCAGUAGUCCCUGUCUCUUAUAC
Molecule: ribosomal RNA, 301 nt
Filed under: uncultured bacterium
Lineage: Bacteria
Description: partial 16S ribosomal RNA
Rfam family: Bacterial small subunit ribosomal RNA
Source: RNAcentral